GUCUCCCCUACAAUUGUUGGAGUUAUUAACAUGCAAAAAGCAUCAAGUGUAGACGACUUAUUAAAAGGCAAAUCA
This 75-nucleotide small RNA is filed under the name Staphylococcus aureus. RNAcentral describes it as "HMPRFS0000_1882". The record is from RNAcentral. Lineage: Bacteria; Bacillati; Bacillota; Bacilli; Caryophanales; Staphylococcaceae.